Molecule: long non-coding RNA, 749 nt
Organism: Anolis carolinensis (green anole)
Lineage: Eukaryota; Metazoa; Chordata; Lepidosauria; Squamata; Anolidae
Exons: 3
Source: RefSeq, a predicted model, not a curated record
GAUUCAGACCCUGGUCUCCAGAGUUAUAGGCCAAUGUUCAGACCACUACUCCAUACUGGUUGUAGCUGAGAGAUAGCUACAGUAAAUAUUGGGCUAAUAAAGUAGUUUUAAACUGAGUCAGAGCAUUAGUUCAUUCACUCAAUUCUGCCUGAUAGCAGAUGUCCAAAUUUAGGUUUUUAUGGCUCCUUAACAUUUAUCCUGGUCACAGUUUGCUCUUUUGCUUCAUUUUAACUGAAAUCAAUCAAUAACUGUUUUCAUUUUGAUUUAGAUCUGGGCAUUUGACCUUUAUGAUGCAGGGCUUAAGAUUCCUUUCAACAUAUGCAUUAUAGAUGGAUUAAGUGCAUUACAAUUAACUGCAGAAGUUAUUAAUAGCUCCAUGCAAUGUUCUCCGCAACAGGAGUCCUCAACAGGAAGAGGUUGAGGAGCCAGAUUAAGUGAGACAAACAGCUACUUGGCAACUAAUAGUUGAGGGUGACACUAGUGGAAGAUCACACUAAGAAAAUGGCAGUGGCACUUCAGAUGUCUCUUGUUAGAACUGCAGAGAAGGAAGCAAUGCAAAGACCACCAGCACUGAAGCAAUGAUCCUCCGCCAUCAAUUUCACUGGACCAGUUCAUGUUGUCUGAAUGCCUAAUCACCAUCUCCCAAGUCAGCUACUUUACUCUCAACUCAAGAACGGCUCAAGUAUCUGAAAACAUGUACCUUCUUUUAAAAAACAACAACAACCAUUAAAAUUCAAUCAGGGAGAGAA